CCUACGGGAGGCAGCAGUGAGGAAUAUUGGUCAAUGGACGAGAGUCUGAACCAGCCAAGUAGCGUGAAGGAUGACUGCCCUAUGGGUUGUAAACUUCUUUUAUAUGGGAAUAAAAUGUUCCACGUGUGGGAUUUUGUAUGUACCAUAUGAAUAAGGAUCGGCUAACGCCGUGCCAGCAGCCGCGGUAAUACGGAGGAGCCGAGCGUUAUGCGGCUUUAUUGGGUUUAAAGGGAGCGUAGGGGGAUUGUUAAGUCAGUUGUGAAAGUUUGCGGCUCAACCGUAAAAUUGCAGUUGAAACUGGCAGUCUUGAUUACAGUAGAGGUGGGCGGAAUUCGUGGUGUAGCGGUGAACUGCUUAGAUAUCACG
Molecule: ribosomal RNA, 366 nt
Filed under: uncultured bacterium
Lineage: Bacteria
Description: partial 16S ribosomal RNA
Rfam family: Bacterial small subunit ribosomal RNA
Source: RNAcentral